Molecule: unclassified non-coding RNA, 148 nt
Organism: Macaca mulatta (Rhesus monkey)
Lineage: Eukaryota; Metazoa; Chordata; Mammalia; Primates; Cercopithecidae
Rfam family: Metazoan signal recognition particle RNA
About the family: The signal recognition particle (SRP) is a universally conserved ribonucleoprotein. It is involved in the co-translational targeting of proteins to membranes.
Source: Ensembl
GCUGGGCGUAGUGGUGGGCGCCUGUAAUCCCAGCUACUCAGGAGGCUGAGGCAGGAGAAUCACUUGAACCUGGGAGGUGGAGGUUGCAGUGAGCUGAGAUCACGCCACUGCACUCCAGCCCAGGUGACAGAGUGAGACUCAGUCUCAA